GCCUUGGUGUCUUCAAUAAGCAUAGGUGUGUUUAGGGCUUAAAAUGCAAUCAACCAAUCAGAGUAUCAUCUCCCAUUCCGUUCAAAAGCCAGGCACGUUUGUUUCACAUUGUAUCGUGUGUGUAACAAGCAUAGUGUGUGUGCGCUGUCCACGAGCCUAGGCGCAUUUUACUAACGCGCUGUUAAAAUAACAAUGAAAUGCUACGUUAUUAACUUUAAACCAGGUUUUUGUCGGCCAAUGGUGCAAUCCCUUUCCGUUGCCUCAAGAUAGCAUCACGCCCAGAAUGCACCUGAACACACCCCCAUGUAAGACCAGCACGCCCAUGGGUGCACAGAUGGGUGCAGGUGCAUUU
This is a long non-coding RNA of Etheostoma spectabile (orangethroat darter), 352 nucleotides long. RefSeq lists it as uncharacterized. The transcript is spliced from 3 exons. Lineage: Eukaryota; Metazoa; Chordata; Actinopteri; Perciformes; Percidae. The record is from RefSeq and is a predicted model, not a curated record.